CAGGAUGAACGCUGGCGGCGUGCCUAAUACAUGCAAGUCGAGCGAACAGAUAAGGAGCUUGCUCCUUUGACGUUAGCGGCGGACGGGUGAGUAACACGUGGGUAACCUACCUAUAAGACUGGAAUAACUCCGGGAAACCGGGGCUAAUGCCGGAUAAUAUUUAGAACCGCAUGGUUCUAAAGUGAAAGAUGGUUUUACUAUCACUUAUAGAUGGACCCGCGCCGUAUUAGCUAGUUGGUGGGGUAAUGGCUUACCAAGGCAACGAUACGUAGCCGACCUGAGAGGGUGAUCGGCCACACUGGAACUGAGACACGGUCCAGACUCCUACGGGAGGCAGCAGUAGGGAAUCUUCCGCAAUGGGCGAAAGCCUGACGGAGCAACGCCGCGUGAGUGAUGAAGGUCUUCGGAUCGUAAAACUCUGUUAUUAGGGAAGAACAAAUGUGUAAGUAACUGUGCACGUCUUGACGGUACCUAAUCAGAAAGCCACGGCUAACUACGUGCCAGCAGCCGCGGUAAUACGU
Molecule: ribosomal RNA, 521 nt
Filed under: uncultured bacterium
Lineage: Bacteria
Description: bacterial SSU rRNA
Rfam family: Bacterial small subunit ribosomal RNA
Source: RNAcentral